Molecule: ribosomal RNA, 706 nt
Filed under: Pseudomonas fluorescens
Lineage: Bacteria; Pseudomonadati; Pseudomonadota; Gammaproteobacteria; Pseudomonadales; Pseudomonadaceae
Description: bacterial SSU rRNA
Rfam family: Bacterial small subunit ribosomal RNA
Source: RNAcentral
ACAUGCAAGUCGAGCGGUAGAGAGAAGCUUGCUUCUCUUGAGAGCGGCGGACGGGUGAGUAAUGCCUAGGAAUCUGCCUGGUAGUGGGGGAUAACGUUCGGAAACGGACGCUAAUACCGCAUACGUCCUACGGGAGAAAGCAGGGGACCUUCGGGCCUUGCGCUAUCAGAUGAGCCUAGGUCGGAUUAGCUAGUUGGUGGGGUAAUGGCUCACCAAGGCGACGAUCCGUAACUGGUCUGAGAGGAUGAUCAGUCACACUGGAACUGAGACACGGUCCAGACUCCUACGGGAGGCAGCAGUGGGGAAUAUUGGACAAUGGGCGAAAGCCUGAUCCAGCCAUGCCGCGUGUGUGAAGAAGGUCUUCGGAUUGUAAAGCACUUUAAGUUGGGAGGAAGGGUUGUAGAUUAAUACUCUGCAAUUUUGACGUUACCGACAGAAUAAGCACCGGCUAACUCUGUGCCAGCAGCCGCGGUAAUACAGAGGGUGCAAGCGUUAAUCGGAAUUACUGGGCGUAAAGCGCGCGUAGGUGGUUAGUUAAGUUGGAUGUGAAAUCCCCGGGCUCAACCUGGGAACUGCAUUCAAAACUGACUGACUAGAGUAUGGUAGAGGGUGGUGGAAUUUCCUGUGUAGCGGUGAAAUGCGUAGAUAUAGGAAGGAACACCAGUGGCGAAGGCGACCACCUGGACUGAUACUGACACUGAGGUGC